Molecule: transfer RNA, 83 nt
Filed under: Rhizoctonia solani
Lineage: Eukaryota; Fungi; Basidiomycota; Agaricomycetes; Cantharellales; Ceratobasidiaceae
Description: tRNA-Val
Rfam family: tRNA
About the family: Transfer RNA (tRNA) molecules are approximately 80 nucleotides in length. Their secondary structure includes four short double-helical elements and three loops (D, anti-codon, and T loops).
Source: RNAcentral
GGCCGUUUGGUGUAGUUGGUUAUCACGCAUCCUUCACACGUUUGAGACGGAUGAGGUCGCUAGUUCGAACCUUGCAAUGGUCA